This 482-nucleotide ribosomal RNA is filed under the name Clostridioides difficile. RNAcentral's name for it is "bacterial SSU rRNA". It matches the Rfam family "Bacterial small subunit ribosomal RNA", at positions 1057 to 1533 of the family's 1533-position model. The record is from RNAcentral. Lineage: Bacteria; Bacillati; Bacillota; Clostridia; Peptostreptococcales; Peptostreptococcaceae.
AGCUCGUGUCGUGAGAUGUUGGGUUACGUCCCGCAACGAGCGCAACCCUUGUCUUUAGUUGCCAUCAUUAAGUUGGGCACUCUAGAGAGACUGCCAGGGAUAACCUGGAGGAAGGUGGGGAUGACGUCAAAUCAUCAUGCCCCUUAUGCUUAGGGCUACACACGUGCUACAAUGGGUAGUACAGAGGGUUGCCAAGCCGUAAGGUGGAGCUAAUCCCUUAAAGCUACUCUCAGUUCGGAUUGUAGGCUGAAACUCGCCUACAUGAAGCUGGAGUUACUAGUAAUCGCAGAUUAGAAUGCUGCGGUGAAUGCGUUCCCGGGUCUUGUACACACCGCCCGUCACACCACGGGAGUUGGAGACGCCCGAAGCCGAUUAUCUAACCUUUUGGAAGAAGUCGUCGAAGGUGGAAUCAAUAACUGGGGUGAAGUCGUAACAAGGUAGCCGUAUCGGAAGGUGCGGCUGGAUCACCUCCUUUCUAAGGA